UACGGAGGGUGCAAGCGUUAUCCGGAUUCAUUGGGCGUAAAGGGUGCGUAGGCGGCGCGGUAAGUCGGGUGUGAAAUCUCGGAGCUUAACCCCGGAACUGCAUUCGAUACUGCAGUGCUUGAGGACUGGAGAGGAGACUGGAAUUCAUGGUGUAGCAGUGAAAUGCGUAGAGAUCAUGAGGAAGACCAGUGGCGAAGGCGGGUCUCUGGACAGUUCCUGACACUGAGGCACGAAGGCCAGGGGAGCAAACGGG
This 253-nucleotide ribosomal RNA is filed under the name uncultured bacterium. Its description in RNAcentral is "partial 16S ribosomal RNA". It matches the Rfam family "Bacterial small subunit ribosomal RNA", at positions 524 to 776 of the family's 1533-position model. The record is from RNAcentral.